This is a long non-coding RNA of Cotesia glomerata, 498 nucleotides long. RefSeq lists it as uncharacterized. The record is from RefSeq and is a predicted model, not a curated record. Lineage: Eukaryota; Metazoa; Arthropoda; Insecta; Hymenoptera; Braconidae. The transcript is spliced from 3 exons.
UGAAGCGGUAGUCUAUUUUUCAGAGCCAGUUUUUGGGCGAACAAAAAUGACCAGUUGUCUGUAAAUAAUUUUAUUAUUGAAUCGCGCAGAGUAAACUACAGACCAGUGACCACCAGGUAUGUUUGUGAUUAAAUAAAUUGACGGCAGUUGGUAAUGUUUCUUACUCAGGAAUUUAUAUUUAAUAAAUAUCAAUGGUUAAUAUUUAAAGCCUGAGAUGUAUAAUUUAGCAAGUACUCUUACCUUAUUAAUGUCAAAGGCACUCGACCUAAAAAGCUCGAAUGGCAGGUCGCUCCUGCCGCCCGUAACCAUCAUUAAUGGUACACAGACUAAAUAGAAAAGAGAAGAGAAAAAUAAUAGUAACAACAAUAACAACAAAUAUGAAGGCCACAGAGGAGGCAAAAAACGUGUCAAAACACUGGUAGUGCUACUUAUUAAAAAGUAAAAUACUAAAUACAAUGGAUAAUUAAAAUAAAAUAUAUAUCUCGGAUACAAUAAAUA